GACGAACGCUGGCGGCGUGCUUAACACAUGCAAGUCGAGCGGUAAGGCCCUUUCGGGGGUACACGAGCGGCGAACGGGUGAGUAACACGUGGGUGACCUGCCUUUAGCUCUGGGAUAAGCCUGGGAAACCGGGUCUAAUACCGGAUAUGACUCCGCGGCGCAUGUUGUGGGGCGGAAAGCCUUGUGCGGCUGGAGAUGGGCCCGCGGCCUAUCAGCUUGUUGGUGGGGUGAUGGCCUACCAAGGCGACGACGGGUAGCCGGCCUGAGAGGGCGACCGGCCACACUGGGACUGAGACACGGCCCAGACUCCUACGGGAGGCAGCAGUGGGGAAUCUUGCGCAAUGGGCGAAAGCCUGACGCAGCGACGCCGCGUGAGGGAUGACGGCC
Molecule: ribosomal RNA, 387 nt
Filed under: uncultured bacterium
Lineage: Bacteria
Description: bacterial SSU rRNA
Rfam family: Bacterial small subunit ribosomal RNA
Source: RNAcentral